RNAcentral lists this long non-coding RNA (1039 nucleotides) under Scleropages formosus (Asian bonytongue). Its description in RNAcentral is "lncRNA (ENSSFOG00015027457.1)". The record is from RNAcentral. Lineage: Eukaryota; Metazoa; Chordata; Actinopteri; Osteoglossiformes; Osteoglossidae.
GGAGUGCAGUGAUAUCUGUAGGGAUGGAGGGAGCGAUACAGUCAUUGAAGUUUAUCCAUCGAAAGUGCAAACUUUCUUCUCUUAAGGCUCACACAGCUCUCUUGUUCUCACUCAUUGUCAUAUGACAGAAAACACUGAAAAAACGCGGUCUUCCUGCUGAAAGGAAGGCGGAGCGACGCUCAAAGAGAGUCGCCCCGCCUUUCGGACGUCCGUGUGUUAUAUAUUGAGCAGGCGAGGGUGAAAGCGAUAGGGGCAACGCGUUGCUUGCCCUUGGGUCGCUUUUGGUAGGUUUUAUCGCUGGAUGACGCCGUACCAGCAAAUUCUUCCAAUGAACGAAUGAAGGCAACAAUUUCUUUUUUCUCAAUAUCUCUUGAUUAUGAAUGAGGAAAGAAGCCCUGUGAAAGAAGCCUUUCCCCUUAAGAGGAGAAAGAGUCUGGAUUCUGGACGGCCAAGAUUAAGCAAUGACUGUAUCCAUCCCUCGAUCUCCACAGCAGCUGUUCACAGCAGUAAGGAUGACAGUCAAGAGAAAAAGAGGAAAGUGAAUUCAGAUGUGGUACCAUUGAUUUUGUCAGAAAUGCUGAAGAUUUGGUGCCACUUCCAAUCAUGGAACCUCAUGACGACAACGAAGCACAACAAAGCCUCCAGGAUCUGUACUUCUCCAGAAUCGGGAGAGGGGCAGGGAAGAUUGACAGACCCCUCUCACCCGGGCCACGGCUUUAUUGAACGUCUCCCAUUCAGCAGGCGCUUCAGAUCGCUGUGCCGAAACAACCAGAUACAAAAAAUGGUUUCUUUCCCCAUGCUGUUACGUCCAUGAAUAGCUGAUAUUAUUGCACAAAAAAAUCCCUCUCACUUAUUCCCUUCCUUGUCAUUUUUGAGCCCUCCUCAUUUAUUCCAUCCCAUGUUAUUUUCCAGUAGUGUCAAUGCACCUUUGCACAGGUUGUAUGUCUUGUUUACUCUCAGCUAUGAGCCGUUGUAAACUGAAACCCAAUUGCUUGUGUGUGUGUCCAUAUUGGCCCAAAUAAAUUGGAUUCUAAGUGCA